AUGAACGCUGGCGGCGUGCCUAAUACAUGCACGUCGAGCGAACAGAUGAGGAGCUUGCUCCUCUGACGUUAGCGGCGGACGGGUGAGUAACACGUGGAUAACCUACCUAUAAGACUGGGAUAACUUCGGGAAACCGGAGCUAAUACCGGAUAAUAUAUUGAACCGCAUGGUUCAAUAGUGAAAGACGGUUUUGCUGUCACUUAUAGAUGGAUCCGCGCCGCAUUAGCUAGUUGGUAAGGUAACGGCUUACCAAGGCGACGAUGCGUAGCCGACCUGAGAGGGUGGUAGGCCACACUGGAACUGAGACACGGUCCAGACUCCUACGGGAGGCAGCAGUAGGGAAUCUUCCGCAAUGGGCGAAAGCCUGACGGAGCAACGCCGCGUGAGUGAUGAAGGUCUUCGGAUCGUAAAACUCUGUUAUUAGGGAAGAACAAAUGUGUAAGUAACUAUGCACGUCUUGACGGUACCUAAUCAGAAAGCCACGGCUAACUACGUG
RNAcentral lists this ribosomal RNA (496 nucleotides) under uncultured bacterium. Its description in RNAcentral is "partial 16S ribosomal RNA". It matches the Rfam family "Bacterial small subunit ribosomal RNA", at positions 29 to 507 of the family's 1533-position model. The record is from RNAcentral.